AGAGUUUGAUCCUGGCUCAGAUUGAACGCUGGCGGCGUGCUUAACACAUGCAAGUCGUACGAGAACGCUUUAGCUUGCUAGAGCUAGUAAAGUGGCGCACGGGUGAGUAACACGUGGGUAAUUUGCCUUCAGGUUCGGGACAACACUGCGAAAGCGGUGCUAAUACCGGAUAAUAUCAGUGAAGCUUCGGCUUUGUGGAUCAAAGGUGGCCUCUACAUGUAAGCCACUGCUUGAAGAAAAGCCCGCGUACCAUUAGCUUGUUGGUGAGGUAACGGCCCACCAAGGCGACGAUGGUUAGCUGGUCUGAGAGGAUGGCCAGCCACACUGGAACUGAGAUACGGUCCAGACUCCUACGGGAGGCAGCAGUGAGGAAUUUUGCGCAAUGGGGGAAACCCUGACGCAGCAACGCCGCGUGAGUGAAGAAGGCCCUUGGGUCGUAAAGCUCUGUCAAGUGGAAAGAAAAUGUUUAUUACGAAUGGUAGUAAGCAUUGACGGUACCGCUAAAGGAAGCACCGGCUAACUCCGUGCCAGCAGCCGCGGUAAUACGGGGGGUGCAAGCGUUAUUCGGAAUUAUUGGGCGUAAAGGGCGCGUAGGCUGUGUAUUAGGUCAGAUGUGAAAGCCCGGGGCUUAACUCCGGAAGUGCAUUUGAAACCGAUACACUUGAGUAUGGGAGAGGGAAGUGGAAUUCCUGGUGUAGAGGUGAAAUUCGUAGAUAUCAGGAGGAACACCGGUGGCGAAGGCGACUUCCUGGCCCAAUACUGACGCUGAGGCGCGAAGGCGUGGGGAGCAAACAGGAUUAGAUACCCUGGUAGUCC
RNAcentral lists this ribosomal RNA (816 nucleotides) under uncultured bacterium. Its description in RNAcentral is "bacterial SSU rRNA". It matches the Rfam family "Bacterial small subunit ribosomal RNA", at positions 8 to 796 of the family's 1533-position model. The record is from RNAcentral.